CUACGGGUGGCACCAGUUAGGCAUAUUCUUCAAUGCGCGCAAGCGUGAAAGAGUGAACCAAAGUGAUUAUUUUAAAUAAUCUUUUAUGAAAUCUAAAACGUUUCAGGAAUAAGGACUGGGUAAGACGAGUGCCAGCCGCCGCGGUAAUCCUCGCGGUCCAAAUCGCAACCAUCAUUAUUGGGUCUAAAACAUCCGUAGCUUGCUUAAUAAGUUUCUUGUGAAAUUCUGGCUCUUAAGGUCAGAGCGUGCAGGAAGUACUGUUAAGCUAGAGACUGGAAGACGUAGAAAGUACAUCAGAAGUAGCGGUCAAAUGUGUUGAUCUCCGAUGGACUCACAAUAGCGAAGGCAUUCUACGAGGACAGUUCUGACAGUAAGGGAUGAAGGCUAAGGGCGCAAAUUGGAUUAGAUACCCGGGUAGUC
RNAcentral lists this ribosomal RNA (420 nucleotides) under uncultured archaeon. RNAcentral describes it as "partial 16S ribosomal RNA". It matches the Rfam family "Archaeal small subunit ribosomal RNA", at positions 323 to 746 of the family's 1478-position model. The record is from RNAcentral.